GUCUACAGCCAUGCUACCCUGAACAAGCCCUAUCCCGUCUGAUCUGGUUAGUACCUGGAUGGGAGACCACCUAGGAAGACCAGGUGCUGUAGGUG
Molecule: ribosomal RNA, 95 nt
Filed under: Pteropus alecto (black flying fox)
Lineage: Eukaryota; Metazoa; Chordata; Mammalia; Chiroptera; Pteropodidae
Source: RNAcentral